RNAcentral lists this long non-coding RNA (1443 nucleotides) under Bos indicus x Bos taurus (hybrid cattle). RNAcentral describes it as "lncRNA (ENSBIXG00000017100.1)". The record is from RNAcentral. Lineage: Eukaryota; Metazoa; Chordata; Mammalia; Artiodactyla; Bovidae.
CAAUGCUUUGGCCUCCUGAUGGAAGCUAUAUACCCUAAGAGGAAAUCUGAUGCCCAAAAUUGAAAGGGAGCCAAGUGGUAAUUCAGAGUGACUCUGGAGAGGCUUCUGUGUGUUUUGUCUAUCUCACUGGUGCUGUUUCAUUUUACUCAUAUCUUAUGAACAAGUACAUCUUAUUCUGAAGAGCAGCCCACACAGAAAAUACUUAAGUAUGGGAGAAGAUGCAGGGAAACAAAUUAAGAUGUCUCGAAGGAAAAAGUUUCAUCUUCCAUCUCACUAGAAAGAGAAGAGUUACAGACAUUAUUAUUGUUAUUUCAUGGACAGCAAGGAGAUCAAACCAGUCCAUCCUAAAGGAAAUCAACCCUGAAUAUUCAUCGGAAGGGCUGAUGCUGAAGCUGAAGCCCCAAUUCUUUGGCUACCUGAUGCAAAGAGUCUACUCAUUGUAAAAGACCCUGAUGCUGGGAAAGAUGGAAGGCAGGAGAAGAAAGGAACAACAGAGGAUGAGAUGGUUGGAUGGCAUCAUCGACUCAACAGACAUGAAUUUGAGCAAACUCUGAGAUGGUGAAGGACAGGGAAGCCUGGCAUGCUGCAGUCCAUGGGGUCACAGAGAUUCAGACAUGACUGAGUGACUGAACGACAACAACAAAAGGGAAAUUACUAUUAGUGGAUUCCUUUUAUUUAGUCCUAAUCUAAUAUUACGACCUUUUCCUCCAGGUCUAAGGCAUUUCCUCUCCCUCACCAUUUGAUAAAGCUAAUCUUUUUAUCUUUAGCAUACAAUUACAAGAGUCCUUUCUUCAUCUUGGCUGAUUUUUUUUCUCAAUUCAUCCCAGCCUCUCCUUCCCCCACCCUCUCCAUCCCCACCGUGUCUGCAAGUCGAUUUUCUGUCUGUAUCUCCAUUGCUUCCCUACAAAUAGGUUCUUCAGUUCCAUCUUUCUAAAUUCCAUAUGUUUAUGUUAAUAUACAAUAUUUGUUUUUCUUUCUGACUUACUUCACUCUGUAUAAUAGGCUCUAGGUUCCUCCACCUCAUUAGAGCUGACUCAAAUACGUUCCUUUUUAUGGCUGAGUAAUAUUCCACUGUCAGAGAAGGCAGUGGCACCCCACUCCAGUACUCUUGCCUGGAAAAUCCCAUGGAUGGAGGAGCCUGGUGGGCUGCAGUCCAUGGGGUCGCUAAGAGUUGGACAUGACUGAGCGACUUCACUUUCACUUUUCACUUUCAUGCAUUGGAGAAGGAAAUGACAAACCACUCCAGUGUUCUUGCCUGGAGAAUCCCAGGGAUGGGAGAGCCUGGUGGGCUGCUGUCUAUGGCAGCAGUCACUGACACGAAUGAAGUGACUUAGCAAUAUUCCAUUGUAUACAUAAAAUAUACAUAUAUGAAUAUUCCAUUGUACAAUAGUCCAUUGUACCACAACUUUUUAAUCCAUUCAUCUGUGAAUAGACAUCUAAGUU